This 272-nucleotide ribosomal RNA is filed under the name uncultured bacterium. Its description in RNAcentral is "partial 16S ribosomal RNA". It matches the Rfam family "Bacterial small subunit ribosomal RNA", at positions 524 to 794 of the family's 1533-position model. The record is from RNAcentral.
GACGAACCCGUGCAAACGUUGUUCGGAAUCACUGGGCUUAAAGGGCGCGUAGGCGGCUCGCCAAGUCAGGGGUGAAAUCUUUCGGCUCAACCGGAAAAGUGCCCCCGAUACUGCCGGACUGGAGGCAGGUAGGGGAGAGCGGAAUUCCCGGUGUAGCGGUGAAAUGCGCAGAUAUCGGGAGGAACACCGGUGGCGAAGGCGGCUCUCUGGACCUGUCCUGACGCUCAGGCGCGAAAGCUAGGGGAGCGAACAGGAUUAGAAACCCUUGUAGU